This is a non-coding RNA of Podarcis lilfordi (Lilford's wall lizard), 2285 nucleotides long. The record is from the annotation of a GenBank genome assembly. NCBI's taxonomy places the organism in Eukaryota, Metazoa, Chordata, Lepidosauria, Squamata, Lacertidae.
UCUCAAAUUACACAUUUCUAAAAUGGAUUUUUCCUAGAAUACACAUUAUUAUAGGCAUUUUGGUACAUUUCCUAGAAUCAUAGAAUUGUAGAACUGGAAGAGACCUGUAAUGCAAGAAUCUCAACUAAAGCAUCCAUGACAGAUGGCCAUCCAACUUCUGCUUAAAAACCUCCAAGGAAGGAGACUCCACUACUUCUUGAAGGAGUCCAUACCACUGUCAACAGCUUUUACUGUCAGAAAGUUCUUCCUGGUGUUUAAUCUCCUAUUUUGUAAUGCAAAGCCAUGGGUCUGGUCCCUACUAUCUAGAGAAGAAAACAAGCUUGCUCCAUCUCCUAUGUGACACCCUUCAGAUACUUCAGAUAUCUCCUCAGUCACCUAUUUUCCAGGCUAAACAUACCCAGCUCCUUCAACCGUUCCUCAUAGGGUUUGGUUUGCAGAUCCUUGAGCAUCUUGGUCACCCUCCUCUGCACAUGUUCCAGCUUCUCAAUGUCCUUCUUAAAUCAUGGAAGCCAGAACUGGACACAGUACUUCAAGUGUGGUCUGACCAAGGCAGAAUAGAGCAAUACUAUUACUUCCCAUGUUUGGAACACUAGACUUCUGUAGAUGCUUCUAAUGCUCACUGGCAGCAUGAAGACACCCACUGGUGGAGUAUUUUCUUCUUUUUAUUUGCAAACAUACAUGCAUGCCUAUUUCCUUACACCUUGUUCCAGUUUGCUUGUGGGCAGCAAAGUCCCUGUUGGCUCCUCUUGCACAUCAACUCCAUUGAGUGGAGUGGAAUUUGGGGAGACUCACAACAACCUCUCUGCUUGAGACUGGUGAUGACUUCCUUGAACAAGGGAGCUCCAUGGGUUGUUCCCAUUGACAGGAAUUGGAGGGGUGUAAAGAGAGAAGGUAAAAGAAAGAAACAUCUUCCCUUCUUGCCCCACCCCUCUCCCUUUGAUUUUUUUUUUUUAUGGUACAUGCUUGUCUGAGAUGAAUUCAACGGAAUGCUUUUAUGUUAGUUGUGGUGGUUACAGUAGGGAAGCCUCUGAUAGGGAUUGGAUGAGCUAUCCUAAUGUCACAGGUUGGAAAAGUAGGCAGAAGUGUAUCCAGCUAUCAUUGCCUGGACAGCUUGAUCCUACAGAAAAGCAAGGCAGGAAGAAUCAACAGAAGAAGCAGAGGUAUCUAGGGAAAGAGAGUGGUCUGCAAAAUUGCAGCAGUCUAGAUUCGAAAAUCAAAAGGAAGAUCUACAGAGCUGCUGUCAGGGCAAUUGGUUGGGGUAGAAUGAAUAGGAUGGGGCCACCAAACAUGGCAGGACUGACCUACCACACAGCAGGAGGGGGCGUCCCUCCAAGACUAUUAAAUGCAGAGUCUGAAAUUAACUAAGCACACAACUGGAAAAUAAUUUCAGAGGAAAGAAGGAAAGCUGAAAGAGAGUGGGGGCAGAAAAGAGACCUGCACAAGCCUAGGGAUCUGUAGAAGGGAUGAAAGAUGAAGCUCACAUAUUGAUUUGAAAUAGCCAGCCAAAUCUUUGACUUAAAGGUCUCUUGUUACCUGCUGUUUUAAUGUUGUCACUCAGCAUUUGGUAAACUUGGUGUCUAGGCCUUUGCCUUAUAAUUCCCCUUUCUUCAAAUAAGAGCAGAAUUGUUGUUUUCUAGAGCAAAAGUUCAGAAUGUAUUACUCUUGGCGUGGUUGCUAUCACUGCAUAGCACAUGAAGUUUCGUCGGACCAGCUGUUUACAUACCACUUUCACAGACAGAAGGCUAAGCUCUUGGGACUCUGUAAAUAUACAAGAAUUACCUAUUGAAUUCAGGAAAUAGUGUACAGGUGCCCUAUUUAUGUCUAUUUAUUUAUGUCUAUUUAUGUCAAAUGUUAGAGAAGCCUGUAUAAAUCCUCUAAACUCAUUGUGCUUUUGUAAUGAAUUACUAGUAUUAUUAUUAUUAAGCAGAUCUUUUGCAUAUAGGUGAACAACACAGCCUUCAAGCUGGACACAGCAUAGUUGCAUAGCCAAGUGCAGCUGUCUCAAGUGAAAGUUGGUGUAACAUAGCAACUGAAGGUAUGUGUGUCAGCUCGCUCUUAUCAAGCAAGAAGCCACUAGGCAGCCUUAGAUAGUAAAGCUUGUAAAUGUCAUUGGAGAAGAUUUAUGUUACAGGAUCUUCAAGCAUAGGGGUGGGGGGUUAGCAUCUCCAAGACACAAAAUAGCUACCUAGCCAAUAUAUUCUCCAGGUCAUCCAAAAGUCAAUGGGCCAGAUCUAGACUAAGUUAGAUGCAACAGGACAACCUAGUUAUGACUUGUGCUUUGAAAU